UACGUAGGGCGCAAGCGUUGUCCGGAAUUAUUGGGCGUAAAGAGCUCGUAGGCGGCCUGUUGCGUCCGCUGUGAAAUCCCGGGGCUUAACCCCGGGCCUGCAGUGGAUACGGGCAGGCUGGAGGCAGGCAGGGGAGAACGGAAUUCCCGGUGUAGCGGUGAAAUGCGCAGAUAUCGGGAGGAACACCGGUGGCGAAGGCGGUUCUCUGGACCGAUAUUGACGCUGAGGAGCGAAAGCCAGGGGAGCAAACGGG
Molecule: ribosomal RNA, 253 nt
Filed under: uncultured bacterium
Lineage: Bacteria
Description: partial 16S ribosomal RNA
Rfam family: Bacterial small subunit ribosomal RNA
Source: RNAcentral